Molecule: ribosomal RNA, 490 nt
Filed under: Epicoccum sp. CJL-2014
Lineage: Eukaryota; Fungi; Ascomycota; Dothideomycetes; Pleosporales; Didymellaceae
Description: eukaryotic LSU rRNA
Rfam family: 5.8S ribosomal RNA (bases 128-281)
Source: RNAcentral
UUCGGUCUGCUACCUCUUACCCAUGUCUUUUGAGUACCUUCGUUUCCUCGGCGGGUCCGCCCGCCGAUUGGACAACAUUCAAACCCUUUGCAGUUGCAAUCAGCGUCUGAAAAAACAUAAUAGUUACAACUUUCAACAACGGAUCUCUUGGUUCUGGCAUCGAUGAAGAACGCAGCGAAAUGCGAUAAGUAGUGUGAAUUGCAGAAUUCAGUGAAUCAUCGAAUCUUUGAACGCACAUUGCGCCCCUUGGUAUUCCAUGGGGCAUGCCUGUUCGAGCGUCAUUUGUACCUUCAAGCUCUGCUUGGUGUUGGGUGUUUGUCUCGCCUCUGCGUGUAGACUCGCCUUAAAACAAUUGGCAGCCGGCGUAUUGAUUUCGGAGCGCAGUACAUCUCGCGCUUUGCACUCAUAACGACGACGUCCAAAAGUACAUUUUUACACUCUUGACCUCGGAUCAGGUAGGGAUACCCGCUGAACUUAAGCAUAUCAAUAA